This is a non-coding RNA of Python bivittatus (Burmese python), 405 nucleotides long. Lineage: Eukaryota; Metazoa; Chordata; Lepidosauria; Squamata; Pythonidae. The record is from RefSeq and is a predicted model, not a curated record.
GAUUCUAUGCACCCCACCACACAGGUAAUUUGUGUAAGAUGCUUUCCUGUUCUUAAAUGGAAAGUAAGAUUGCUGUCUUGUUUUUAUUUUCACCCAGACCAUUCACUGCGUAAGUAGAAAUCCCACCCGCAUACAACUGGGAUUGAAAGAGAAACUUUUCACAGCUUCAGGGAUCAGUAUCUCUGAACCCCAGGCUUUUAGUGCUACAAGAGAUUCUAGAUUGCUUCCUCCCACCAAUGCCAAGAUAAGAAGUAAAUGAACUGUUGCUAGGCCUUGAGGAAAUUCAGAGAUUUAUGUUUGUGACUGAAGCCACAGUCCAGAUACCCUAUUUCUAACAGAUGUUCAUUGGUUAUGAGAAAUGAAACAUUUGGAGGGCAACAGACUGUGAAAAACUGCAUUAACCAG